RNAcentral lists this ribosomal RNA (695 nucleotides) under uncultured bacterium. RNAcentral's name for it is "bacterial SSU rRNA". It matches the Rfam family "Bacterial small subunit ribosomal RNA", at positions 748 to 1443 of the family's 1533-position model. The record is from RNAcentral.
GAGGCUCGAAGGCUAGGGUAGCGAAAGGGAUUAGAUACCCCCUGUAGUCCUAGCAGUAAACGAUGUGCGCUUGGUGUGGGAGGGUUCGACCCCUUCUGUGCCGGAGCUAACGCGUUAAGCGCACCGCCUGGGGAGUACGGUCGCAAGACUAAAACUCAAAGAAAUUGACGGGGACCCGCACAAGCGGUGGAGUAUGUGGCUUAAUUCGAUGCAACGCGAAGAACCUUACCCAGACUUGACAUGUAUUGCUAAUCUGCUGAAAGGCAGUGACCCUUCGGGGACCUUACACAGGUGCUGCAUGGCCGUCGUCAGCUCGUGUCGUGAGAUGUUCGGUUAAGUCCGGCAACGAGCGCAACCCCUGUGGCUAGUUACUAACAUUUAGUUGAGGACUUUAGCCAGACUGCCCAGAUCAACUGGGAGGAAGGUGGGGAUGACGUCAGGUCAGUAUGGCCCUUACGUCUGGGGCUGCACACGUACUACAAUGCCCAGUACAAUGAGAACCGAGACCGCGAGGUGGAGGAAAUCUACAAAACUGGGCUCAGUUCGGAUUGGAGGCUGCAACUCGCCUCCAUGAAGUUGGAAUCGCUAGUAAUGGCACAUCAGCUACGGUGCCGUGAAUACGUUCCCGGGUCUUGUACACACCGCCCGUCACAUCAUGGAAGCCGACAGCACCCGAAGUAUCUGCGCCAACAUUG